RNAcentral lists this ribosomal RNA (504 nucleotides) under uncultured bacterium. RNAcentral describes it as "bacterial SSU rRNA". It matches the Rfam family "Bacterial small subunit ribosomal RNA", at positions 15 to 518 of the family's 1533-position model. The record is from RNAcentral.
GAUUCUGGCUCAGGACGAACGCUGGCGGCGUGCUUAACACAUGCAAGUCGAACGAGAAUCUGUGGAUAGAGGUUUCGGCCAAUUGAAGCAGAGGAAAGUGGCGGACGGGUGAGUAACGCGUGAGGAACCUGCCUUUCAGAGGGGGACAACAGUUGGAAACGACUGCUAAUACCGCAUGAUGCAUAGAGGUCGCAUGGCCUUUAUGCCAAAGAUUUAUCGCUGAAAGAUGGCCUCGCGUCUGAUUAGCUAGUUGGUGAGGUAACGGCCCACCAAGGCGACGAUCAGUAGCCGGACUGAGAGGUUGAACGGCCACAUUGGGACUGAGAUACGGCCCAGACUCCUACGGGAGGCAGCAGUGGGGAAUAUUGGGCAAUGGGCGCAAGCCUGACCCAGCAACGCCGCGUGAAGGAAGAAGGCUUUCGGGUUGUAAACUUCUUUUGUUGGGGACGAGUAGAAGACGGUACCUGACGAAUAAGCCACGGCUAACUACGUGCCAGCCGCCGC